RNAcentral lists this ribosomal RNA (433 nucleotides) under uncultured bacterium. RNAcentral describes it as "partial 16S ribosomal RNA". It matches the Rfam family "Bacterial small subunit ribosomal RNA", at positions 29 to 507 of the family's 1533-position model. The record is from RNAcentral.
AACGAACGCUGGCGGCAUGCCUAACACAUGCAAGUCGAACGAGACCUUCGGGUCUAUUGGCGCACGGGUGCGUAACGCGUGGGAACCUUCCCUUAUGUUCGGAAUAACUCCCCGAAAGGGGUGCUAAUACCGGAUAAUGUCUUCGGACCAAAGAUUUAUCGCCUUUGGAUGGGCCCGCGUUGGAUUAGCUAGUUGGUAGGGUAAAAGCCUACCAAGGCGACGAUCCAUAGCUGGUCUGAGAGGAUGAUCAGCCACACUGGGACUGAGACACGGCCCAGACUCCUACGGGAGGCAGCAGUGGGGAAUAUUGGAAAAUGGGCGAAAGCAUGAUCCAGCAAUGCCGCGUGAGUGAUGAAGGCAUUAGGGUUGUAAAGCUCUUUUAACCGGGAUGAUAAUGACAGUACCGGGAGAAUAAGCUCCGGCUAACUACGUG